Molecule: ribosomal RNA, 253 nt
Filed under: uncultured bacterium
Lineage: Bacteria
Description: partial 16S ribosomal RNA
Rfam family: Bacterial small subunit ribosomal RNA
Source: RNAcentral
UACAGAGGGUGCGAGCGUUAAUCGGAAUUACUGGGCGUAAAGCGCACGUAGUCGGCUUUGCAAGUCGGUUGUGAAAUCCCCGGGCUCAACCUGGGAACUGCAUCCGAGACUGCAUUGCUAGAGUAUGGGAGAGGAAAGCGGAAUUUCUGGUGUAGCAGUGAAAUGCGUAGAUAUCGGGAGGAACACCAGUGGCGAAGGCGGCGAUCUGGGAAGAUACUGACGCUGAGGUGCGAAAGCGUGGGGAGCAAACAGG